This 253-nucleotide ribosomal RNA is filed under the name uncultured bacterium. RNAcentral describes it as "partial 16S ribosomal RNA". It matches the Rfam family "Bacterial small subunit ribosomal RNA", at positions 524 to 776 of the family's 1533-position model. The record is from RNAcentral.
UACGUAGGGAGCAAGCGUUGUCCGGAAUCAUUGGGCGUAAAGCGCGCGUAGGUGGCCCCAUAAGUCCGCUGUGAAAGUCAAAGGCUCAACCUUUGAAAGCCGGUGGAUACUGUGGGACUAGAGUACGGAAGAGGCGAGUGGAAUUCCUGGUGUAGCGGUGGAAUGCGCAGAUAUCAGGAGGAACACCAAUAGCGAAGGCAGCUCGCUGGGACGUUACUGACACUGAGGCGCGAAAGCAUGGGGAGCGAACAGG